GAUGCAGCAACGCCGCGUGAACGAUGAAGGUCUUCGGAUCGUAAAGUUCUGUUGCAGGGGAAGAUAAUGACGGUACCCUGUGAGGAAGCCCCGGCUAACUACGUGCCAGCAGCCGCGGUAAUACGUAGGGGGCUAGCGUUAUCCGGAUUUACUGGGCGUAAAGGGUGCGUAGGUGGUCCUUCAAGUCGGUGGUUAAAGGCUACGGCUCAACCGUAGUAAGCCGCCGAAACUGGAGGACUUGAGUGCAGGAGAGGAAAGUGGAAUUCCCAGUGUAGCGGUGAAAUGCGUAGAUAUUGGGAGGAACACCAGUAGCGAAGGCGGCUUUCUGGACUGCAACUGACACUGAGGCACGAAAGCGUGGGUAGCAAACAGGAUUAGAUACCCUGGUAGUCCACGCUGUAAACGAUGAGUACUAGGUGUCGGGGGUUACCCCCCUCGGUGCCGCAGCUAACGCAUUAAGUACUCCGCCUGGGGAGUACGCACGCAAGUGUGAAACUCAAAGGAAUUGACGGGGACCCGCACAAGUAGCGGAGCAUGUGGUUUAAUUCGAAGCAACGCGAAGAACCCUACCUAAGCUUGACAU
RNAcentral lists this ribosomal RNA (583 nucleotides) under Peptostreptococcus stomatis. RNAcentral's name for it is "bacterial SSU rRNA". It matches the Rfam family "Bacterial small subunit ribosomal RNA", at positions 385 to 987 of the family's 1533-position model. The record is from RNAcentral. Lineage: Bacteria; Bacillati; Bacillota; Clostridia; Peptostreptococcales; Peptostreptococcaceae.